GAUAAGAAUGUCCCUUUGUGUGCAGUGACACUUACAACCUUGCAUGCAGCGACCUGAACCAACUCCCAUAAAAACCCAAUCAACUCUGUAGGAUAAUAAUUCACCCUGCCUUCAUCUUUUAAUGGGGACAGGGAAGUAAUUGGAAAACAAAUGGUCAGACAAAGUAAAUUUGUGGAGGAUGAAAAAGUGACAGACUUGUGGGACUUAUACAAGAGAAGCCAAGCAGCUGAGUGAUUGCACUAGAAAUCCCAAUAUAAGGAAACUGAGGUCCAGCUUUCAAACUUUUAAAAGCCCAAGCUGAGCCCUGACUGGGUGAAGGCCAGCAGUAAGCCGUGCCAUGCCUCAUUAUGCCUGACGUGAACACGACAGCAGAGCGACAGCAGGACACACAUCCAUAUGUACAGGUCCCCUUGGGGACAAGAUUACAAGAAGUCGUCACAGCGGACAUUAUUCAGUGCAGCAAGCCAGUUGGACGAAGCAGAGGAAGAAGAACAGAGAGAAAGAAGCCACACACAUUUGCUGUUGCCUUUGAACUUUCAUAAUGAAACUGACUCCUUGAAGUUUUAAUGAAAGCAACAAUUUACCAUUCCCUUUUCUCCCUGGGCUGCUGAGGCUG
Long non-coding RNA from Xiphophorus couchianus (Monterrey platyfish), 616 nucleotides. RefSeq lists it as uncharacterized. Lineage: Eukaryota; Metazoa; Chordata; Actinopteri; Cyprinodontiformes; Poeciliidae. The transcript has 3 exons. The record is from RefSeq and is a predicted model, not a curated record.